AUUUUUUUAAGUCCAUUUUUAUUACUCUUCUUGGUCUGUUGAAACAAAAUCUCAUGGAUUAGGGGGCCCAAGAAAGCUGUCUCCCAGAAUUCUGGAGUUUGAGGGGUCUAAGAUUAGGAUACCAUCUAACUCCAUUUCCUGCCAGACUUCUCCUAACUCACAGACAUCUGCCUUUCCUUUUCUGUUUUCUACGGAUCUUUAAAGUCCUAUUUCCAAACACAGUUUACACUAGGCACUAGGCCUUCAGUACACAUUUUUAAGGAGACACAAUGUAUCCCUUGUCAUGCUUCUCCUGUCCCUUUCCACCAAAUUCAUGCCCAUGCAUGAAAUGCAUUCAUUCCAUCCCAGUAGCUGCCAAAGUCUGAAAUUCCAGCCCCAGCUAUAAGGUCUCAAGUCCCAAGUUUAGUCUACCACCUGGAUCAGAUAUGACUGAGAUGUUUGAUUAUCCAUCCUAAGCUAUGCGCCUGUGAAACUGAGUAAGUUACGUGCUUCUAAAAUGCUAUGGAAGGACAGGCAUAGAAUAGACAUCACUACACCAAAGGAUAGAAAUGCAAAUGAAGGAAUGGGUGAUGGAUACCAAGCAAUUUCAAAACCUGGCAAAUUCCACUAGAUUGUAAGACAUAAGAAUAAUCUGUUUUGGCUUGAUUCACAGCCAAUGAGCCUGUUAGUGUGACACUCCUUCCUCCAUGGUCUUCCAGAUAGCCUCAUUGCCAGGGCUCUGCAGGGCAGUCUGAGCUGUCAGGUUUAUAUUGAAGGCCACCUUUCCUGUUGAAAGCAAGGAUGAACUAGUUGAAUUCACCUAUGAGCUAUGCCCAUCAUUUUAUUAGCCUUUGAGCUGUACCCACCUGUAGGGAGAGACCCAGGAUACCUGUACCAUUCACCCUGCCCAUGUGGGCAUGGUCACAGAUACAUCGAGGGGUAGGAUAAAGAGAGAGGACAGGAGGCACUCUCUUUCUCUCUCAGGGUUCAGCCAGCUCUUGGAAGCAUCUGGGAUCCUGGCGGCUCGGAGUGCCCAUCCUAAAGAGGUAUUUCUUCUUGCUGUAAUUAGAGUCUCAAGUGUGCCUCCAAAAAGCGCAUGUGUUGAAGACGGGGUCUGUAAUGUAGUGUUCAGAGGUCAGACUUUGGGGAAGUGAUCGGCUUAUGAGCAGGCUGAUGGAUACAUUAAUUGCUGCAACAUUCAUUGAUGGAUGCACAAUGAAAUGGAUUGUCGGGAGGGGUAGCGUCUGAGGGCCAGUGCCUGACUGGAACGAGUCACUGUGGACACCACUUUGAAAGGUCUGUGCUCGCUAGUUUUUUGUGUCAAAAAGAGGUGCACAUCUGAGACCCUAGCAUUCCAACUUGGCAAUGGAGACGGAGAAUACACCAGAAGCUUAAGAGCCAGCUGACCUGGAGUAAGCCAUGUAACAGCAGAACCAAGAGAAGCCAUGCUUCAACAUGAUGGAAGAAGAGAUCGGGCUCCCAAAGGUUGUCCCUUGAUGUCCUCAUGCACACCACGGCAUUGUGCACACUAACACUCACACAUAAAC
RNAcentral lists this long non-coding RNA (1526 nucleotides) under Cricetulus griseus (Chinese hamster). Its description in RNAcentral is "lncRNA (ENSCGRG00015029826.1)". Lineage: Eukaryota; Metazoa; Chordata; Mammalia; Rodentia; Cricetidae. The record is from RNAcentral.